AUAACUACUGGAAACGGUAGCUAAUACCGCAUAACGUCGCAAGACCAAAGAGGGGGACCUUCGGGCCUCUUGCCAUCAGAUGUGCCCAGAUGGGAUUAGCUAGUAGGUGGGGUAACGGCUCACCUAGGCGACAAUCCCUAGCUGGUCUGAGAGGAUGACCAGCCACACUGGAACUGAGACACGGUCCAGACUCCUACGGGAGGCAGCAUG
Molecule: ribosomal RNA, 210 nt
Filed under: uncultured bacterium
Lineage: Bacteria
Description: partial 16S ribosomal RNA
Rfam family: Bacterial small subunit ribosomal RNA
Source: RNAcentral